This 254-nucleotide ribosomal RNA is filed under the name uncultured bacterium. Its description in RNAcentral is "partial 16S ribosomal RNA". It matches the Rfam family "Bacterial small subunit ribosomal RNA", at positions 524 to 776 of the family's 1533-position model. The record is from RNAcentral.
UACGGGGGGAGCAAGCGUUGUUCGGAUUUACUGGGCGUAAAGGGCGCGUAGGCGGUCAGCACAAGUCAGUUGUGAAAUCUCCGGGCUUAACUCGGAAAGGUCAACUGAUACUGUGCGACUAGAGUGCGGAAGGGGCAACUGGAAUUCUCGGUGUAGCGGUGAAAUGCGUAGAUAUCGAGAGGAACACCUGCGGCGAAGGCGGGUUGCUGGGCCGACACUGACGCUGAUACGCGAAGGCAUGGGGAGCGAACGGG